CCUACGGGAGACAGCAGUGAGGAAUAUUGGUCAAUGGGCGCUAGCCUGAACCAGCCAAGUAGCGUGAAGGAUGACUGCCCUAUGGGUUGUAAACUUCUUUUAUAUGGGAAUAAAGUGCAGUAUGUAUACUGCUUUGCAUGUACCUUAUGAAUAAGGAUCGGCUAACUCCGUGCCAGCAGCCGCGGUAAUACGGAGGAUCCGAGCGUUAUCCGGAUUUAUUGGGUUUAAAGGGAGCGUAGGCGGGUUGUUAAGUCAGUUGUGAAAGUUUGCGGCUCAACCGUAAAAUUGCAGUUGAUACUGGCAGCCUUGAGUGUAGUAGAGGUAGGCGGAAUUCGUGGUGUAGCGGUGAAAUGCUUAGAUAUCACGAAGAACUCCGAUUGCGAAGGCAGCCUGCUGGACUGUAACUGACGCUGAUGCUCGAAAGUGUGGGUAUCAAACAGGAUUAGAUACCCUGGUAGUC
This 460-nucleotide ribosomal RNA is filed under the name uncultured bacterium. RNAcentral's name for it is "partial 16S ribosomal RNA". It matches the Rfam family "Bacterial small subunit ribosomal RNA", at positions 338 to 795 of the family's 1533-position model. The record is from RNAcentral.